Micropterus salmoides (largemouth bass) is the source of this 942-nucleotide long non-coding RNA. RefSeq lists it as uncharacterized. The record is from RefSeq and is a predicted model, not a curated record. Lineage: Eukaryota; Metazoa; Chordata; Actinopteri; Centrarchiformes; Centrarchidae. The transcript has 2 exons.
GGGCCGUGGACAGGGACGUCACUGGAACGAGCCAACGGUCGAGACUACCAAGAAAAAAGAGAGAGUGCUGACUCACUGCACUCACGGUCACGGACUAGUUUGGGGAAUAGCAAGUUGCCCAGAGCACUGUGGCUACAAGCCAGCAAAGAAGUGCUGCUGUGAGGCGUAACCGUCUGACAUCUGGGGCCACGGACCAAGAAAUAGAUUCCACCAUCAAAAGAUGGCUUCAUCUGGCUCCGGAUAGGGAUGGUGGCAGGAGGGAGAGGAUGAGGAGAAAAGAGCGUGAAGAGAGCAGGACAGCAGUAAACAAUUUAAUGAACUGAAACAUGGCAUAGACAUGUGUGCAGAGUACAACGGGUUCAUGUACUGAAACAUAGCAUGGAUGUUCAGAAGUUGUUUUUUGUCAAGUGUUUCACAAGUUUACAAGUGCAAAACCGAACUGAAUUUCAGCUGGAACAGCGGGAGGCCAGGACUGUGUUUGUUAUCCUGGACGAAAGUUGUGUGCAGAGUACAAUGGGUUCAUGGACUGAAACAUAGCAUGGAUGUUCAAAAGUUGUGUGUGUUUUACAAGUGCAAAAUCUAACUGAAUUUCAGCUGGAACAGCAGGAGGCUGGAUCCGUGUUUGCUAACCUGGACUGGGCUAAAACACUUAACCUGGUCUGGAUGUUGUGGGAAAUAAAUACCAUAAUUUCUGUGCCGGAGAGAUCCUCACGCCAAACUAUGUUCAAAAAUCUUUUAUGUACAAGUGUUUUGUACAAGAAUUUCCUAUUUGUCUGUACAUUUUUACAAAUGCACUGCUGACGUGGGGGGGUUGAGGUGAGAGGAGAUAAGUGGAGGAGGGGACUGGAAAAAAGAGAGGAAGAGAUUGUCUGGCAAAUAAAAUUUACAGUUUUGAAAAUGGCUUGAUGUGGAAAAAUCAAUAAAUAUUUUUCAUAAAACGUC